This 497-nucleotide ribosomal RNA is filed under the name uncultured bacterium. Its description in RNAcentral is "partial 16S ribosomal RNA". It matches the Rfam family "Bacterial small subunit ribosomal RNA", at positions 28 to 507 of the family's 1533-position model. The record is from RNAcentral.
GAUGAACGCUGGCGGCGUGCCUAAUACAUGCAAGUCGAGCGAACAGACGAGGAGCUUGCUCCUCUGACGUUAGCGGCGGACGGGUGAGUAACACGUGGAUAACCUACCUAUAAGACUGGGAUAACUUCGGGAAACCGGAGCUAAUACCGGAUAAUAUAUUGAACCGCAUGGUUCAAUAGUGAAAGACGGUUUUGCUGUCACUUAUAGAUGGAUCCGCGCCGCAUUAGCUAGUUGGUAAGGUAACGGGUUACCAAGGCUACGAUGCGUAGCCGACGUGAGAGGGGGGUCGGCCACACUGGAACUGGGACACGGUCCAGACUCCUACGGGAGGGAGCAGUAGGGAAUCUUCCGCAAUGGGCGAAAGUCUGACGGAGCAACGCCGCGUGAGUGAUGAAGGUCUUCGGAUCGUAAAACUCUGUUAUUAGGGAAGAACAAAUGUGUAAGUAACUAUGCACGUCUUGACGGUACCUAAUCAGAAAGCCACGGCUAACUACGUG